This 3994-nucleotide long non-coding RNA is filed under the name Homo sapiens (human). RNAcentral describes it as "HSALNT0066781". Lineage: Eukaryota; Metazoa; Chordata; Mammalia; Primates; Hominidae. The record is from RNAcentral.
GCCCCGCCCACCCAUCGCCUUUGCCACCCUCGAACGGGCAAAAGAAAGAAAGAGGCAGCCACCCUCGCCCCCGCCAAAACAAACAGACAAAAAACUGUCAUUCUCAUAUGACCACGGACUCUGCGCCCCGGCCGCAGGCGGAGGACAGGGAGGAGCGCACACGAGAAAGCUCCCACGCGCCCGCGCCUCGCCUCCGACGGGAAGGCGCCUCUUCCGACCGUCCUGGAUGCAAAUUAAAUACUUCCCUCCGCAGAAGACUUAUCUCGGGGUAGGGCCGCAGCCGGAUUUCCAAAUCGCGGGUUUGAUUUUCGCUGCGUCCUCUCCGCGACGCGCGCAGGGAGCGCGCCCGGCCACCUGCAGCCUCUGGCUGCGGCCAUCUUUCCGCCUGGGGCCACCUGGCCUGCGCCCUUUGUGCCCGGCCCGCUCCGUGACUGUUCUUCUUGCCGCUACUUACAGAACUCAGCCGCCUUAGCGUCUUAGAGAAGAGGACGGCAUGCAUGCGGACCCCGUCCACCACACCUGGAGAGCAGGGAGCCCUUAGUCCCUGGACACUUACCAGGGCCGCCACCCCUGGUCCACGCACGUGAUGACAUCUCACCAGGGGCAGCACACCGCCCGAGUCCGCGACACUGAUAACACCUCCUGCGGGCAGGAGGGCGCCACAGCCACCCCUGGUCCCCUAGAUUGUGUGAGGCUAGCAUUUCUGCCCGCCUCUUGGCGUGGACAGCACGCUGGACCGAGAUGGAACCACAGCUUUCUCUUCCCAAUCCCUGGCCUCACCGUUUUGUUUCAUACCUCACCGUUUGUUUCAAACCUCGUGGUGUUGAAAUGAUUAAAUGAGAUUAAGGGGUGUGUGGUAGUGUUGGGCAAACCACAAGAAAACGGUCUGGGUGGGGUCUGGCCCUAAAAUCUUCCUCCCCCACCUCCCAGGCUUCCUUGCCUUGCUGCUUCCUCUCAGCCUUUAAACAGGUUGGCCUCUCCAAGUCCUAAAAACAAAAUUAUCAAGCCAACCUCCUCCUGAAGUGCUCCCUCCAACUAGCUUCCAAGUGUUUCAUGCGGACCUCAAACAAUGGUCUUCCCUGGCUGCCUCUGCUUCCUCAUUUCUCAACACUUGGCAUUCUGGCUUCUCCUCCCCAACUCUAACCCUUCACCUUGCUCAGGCAAGAGCAACUCAUGACUUUCAUUUUGCCAAACCUUGCAGGCAUUCCUCAGGCCUUAUCUCUCUGGUUCUUUCUGCUACAUUUGACACCUUGGGAUGACUCUCACCUUCUGGAAUCUCUCUACUACCUUGGUUUCAGAAGAGUGAACCCUCUGGAUUAUCACAUGAAGCUACUUCCUGUGAGCAGCCCAGGGAUGGCCAGUCACUUGUGACCUACUUUCAGAGCUGGCAGUUCUGACUUCUAGAACAAACUCGGAACAAGCCCAUCUACAGCUGGUUGACUGAGUUUCCUUUGGGCUCCUGGCACCAGAAAGAAUUGCUCACUGGAAGGAUCAUAGGUGGCACUCAUGUCUCACUGCCCCACUCAGCUUGCCUGUGUGGACUCCUGCCUGCUCUCUGUGCCAGGAUCCCGUGACAUGAAACAGAAUAAGUGCUUCAUAAACGGGAGUGACACUAGGCGUGGUGGCAUGCAUCUGGAGUCCUAGCUACGCGGGAGGCUGAGGCAGGAGGAUUGCCUGAGCCUAGGAGUUGGAGGCUCUAAUGCACUUGGAUAGCACCUAUGAAUAGCCAGUGCCCUCCAACCUGGGCAACAUAGUGAGCUCUUGUCACCAAAAAAAAAAAAAAAAAAGCUAGAAGAGAAUAAUUUGAAUAUUUCUAGCACAAAGAAAAGACAAAUAUUUAAGAUAAUGGAUAGCCCAGUUACACAGAUUUGAUCUUUACAAAUUAUAUGAAUGUAUUAAAUUAUCAUGGCUGGGUGCAGUGGCUCACACUUGUAAUCCCAGCACUUUUGGAGGCUGAGGUGGGUGGAUCAUCUGCGGUCAGGAGUUCCAGACCAGCCUGGCAAACACGGCAAACAUGUACUAAAAAUACAAAAAAUUAGCCAAGUGUGGUGGCAGGCACCUGUAAUCCCAGCAACUCAGGAGGCCGAGGCGGGAGAAUUGCUUGAACCUGGGAGGCAGAGUGCUUGCAGUGAGCCGAGACCGCACCACUGCUUUGUAGCCUGGGCAACAGAGUGAGAUGCCAUUUCAAUAAUAAUAAUAAACUAUCACAUGUAACCCCCAAAUAUGUACAUCAUUGUGUAUCAAUAAAAAUAAAUAAAUGUGAAUAAAUGACUGAGAGUAUGAAUAAUGCCAUCCCUCCAGCGCCCUUGCACUGUGGUUCUCCAGCACCUGCUACUUAGGUUUCUUCAGAUACCAGCUGCUCUGGGAGCUAUACCUUGUUUCAGGAUCUCAGUCACUGCCUUCAGCAGCCCACUAUCUGAUCCAAGCAGCCAUGGAUUCUCUUUUGUAUCCAGUCACUCCUGUACCCUCUUCCCUUUUAGGUUUUGCUACUGUCUUCAAACUUGCUUUGAAGAUUUGAGCUCCUGUGUCACCAGGUCACCCUCAGAGGCAUCAGGACAUGCUCUUCAAGUAAAGUCCAAAUGAGGGAUUAGACACUCUGGGCUUCAUUUCUCAGUGUCCUCUCUCAAGAGCUAGACUAUUACUUGCAUUUCUCAUCUCCUUGAAUCAUCAGCGCCUGGUGCUAUCAUUUAAAAUAGGGAAAGUUAUGAACUGGGUUAAAUUUUUUUUUUUUUUUUGAGAUAGAAUGUCACUUUGUUGCCCAGGCUAAAGUACAGUGGUGCAAUCUUGGUUCACUGCAACCUCCACCUCCCGAGUUCAAGCAAUUCUCCUGCCUCAGCCUCCCAAGUAGCUGGGAUUACAGGUGUUCACCACCAUGCCUGGCUAGUUUUUGUGCUUUUAGUAGAGACAGGGUUUCACCAUGUUGGCCAGGCUGGUCUCGAACUUAUGACCUCAAGUGAUCUGCCCGCCUCAGCCUCCCAAAGUGCUGGGAUUACAGGCGUGAGCCACCACACCCGGCCUCAAAAAAUAUUUUUUUAGAAAGAAAAAAGAAAGAAACAAAAACAAAUAAAAUAGGGAAAGAUGAUUAGUAAGUCUCUUCCUUUCCAGGGCCUUAGUUUUCCUACCUGUAAAAUACAGAGCAUGGUAUUUUUGGAGUCCAUGAAUCCACCAAGCACAGUAUCAUCUUUGCAUGGUGCUUUAAAGUAUAUAAAACAUUUUAGACAAACAAGAUCUUAUUUAACAAAAAAAUGCCCAAUAAAUGUUUGCUAACAGAAAUGAUAAUGCUGAUUCUGUGUGAGCUGAAAGAAGCCUGUUGAAGGUGAAUGUGUCGUCUAUCAUUAAGUCUGAGGACCAAUUAAAGUUAAAACAAGUAUGAGUCACUAAAUGUUAGAAUUAAUUUUGAAUCCCUUAGUUUAAUUCCUACAUGUUGUCAAUGCCUGAGGGAAAUGGUCUAGCCACAGGUGCCAGCUCAUAAGAAACGGGAAGGCCAGGUACGGUGGCUCACACCUGCCAUCCCAUCAUUUUGGGAGGCUGAGGCCAGCAGAUCAUUUGAGGCCAGGAGUUUGAGACCAGCCUGUGCAAUGUAGGGAGAUCUCUACAAAAAAGUAAUUAGCCAGACAUGGUGGUAUGCACCUGCAGUCCCCGCUGUUUGAGAGGCUGAGGCAGGAGGAUCACAUGAGCCUAGAAGUUCGAGGCCGCAGUGAGCUAUGAAUGCACCAUUGCACUCCAGCCUGAGCAAUAGAGUGAGACCUUGCCUCAAAAAUUAAAAAAUAAAAUAAAUAUAAAAAUAAAACAAGAGAGAGAGGGCACCGUCUCUGUGGUACUAUUUGGCUGUGUUACAUAACUGGCAUUUUAUUUGGAAAAAAAAAAUGUCCUCCAAGGGGUUCAUUUCCUCAGAUCAAAUGUCAUUCCAGGUGUUGGUAUGCAUUCGACGCGUGCAUUCUUCAGCCCUGGUUAUUCUGUUUUAUUUUAUGUAAAACUCUAUUUCAAAAUACAG